Molecule: ribosomal RNA, 697 nt
Filed under: Streptomyces sp. YIM 56171
Lineage: Bacteria; Bacillati; Actinomycetota; Actinomycetes; Kitasatosporales; Streptomycetaceae
Description: bacterial SSU rRNA
Rfam family: Bacterial small subunit ribosomal RNA
Source: RNAcentral
UGCAAGUCGAACGAUGAAGCCCUUCGGGGUGGAUUAGUGGCGAACGGGUGAGUAACACGUGGGCAAUCUGCCCUUCACUCUGGGACAAGCCCUGGAAACGGGGUCUAAUACCGGAUAACACUCUGUCCCGCAUGGGACGGGGUUAAAAGCUCCGGCGGUGAAGGAUGAGCCCGCGGCCUAUCAGCUUGUUGGUGGGGUAAUGGCCUACCAAGGCGACGACGGGUAGCCGGCCUGAGAGGGCGACCGGCCACACUGGGACUGAGACACGGCCCAGACUCCUACGGGAGGCAGCAGUGGGGAAUAUUGCACAAUGGGCGAAAGCCUGAUGCAGCGACGCCGCGUGAGGGAUGACGGCCUUCGGGUUGUAAACCUCUUUCAGCAGGGAAGAAGCGAAAGUGACGGUACCUGCAGAAGAAGCGCCGGCUAACUACGUGCCAGCAGCCGCGGUAAUACGUAGGGCGCAAGCGUUGUCCGGAAUUAUUGGGCGUAAAGAGCUCGUAGGCGGCUUGUCACGUCGGAUGUGAAAGCCCGGGGCUUAACCCCGGGUCUGCAUUCGAUACGGGCUAGCUAGAGUGUGGUAGGGGAGAUCGGAAUUCCUGGUGUAGCGGUGAAAUGCGCAGAUAUCAGGAGGAACACCGGUGGCGAAGGCGGAUCUCUGGGCCAUUACUGACGCUGAGGAGCGAAAGCGUGGGGAGCG